ACGGUACCGGAGUAAGAAGCACCGGCUAACUACGUGCCAGCAGCCGCGGUAAUACGUAGGGUGCGAGCGUUAAUCGGAAUUACUGGGCGUAAAGCGUGCGCAGGCGGUUAGGUAAGUCAGAUGUGAAAGCCCCGGGCUCAACCUGGGAACGGCAUUUGAGACUGCCUAGCUGGAGUAUGGCAGAGGGGGGUGGAAUUCCACGUGUAGCAGUGAAAUGCGUAGAGAUGUGGAGGAACACCGAUGGCGAAGGCAGCCCCCUGGGCCAUGACUGACGCUCAUGCACGAAAGCGUGGGGAGCAAACAGGAUUAGAUACCCUGGUAGUCCACGCCCUAAACGAUGUCAACUAGGUGUUGGGAGGGUUAAACCUUUUAGUGCCGUAGCUAACGCGUGAAGUUGACCGCCUGGGGAGUACGGCCGCAAGGCUAAAACUCAAAGGAAUUGACGGGGACCCGCACAAGCGGUGGAUGAUGUGGAUUAAUUCGAUGCAACGCGAAAAACCUUACCUACCCUUGACAUGUCAGGAAUCCUGAAGAGAUUUGGGAGUGCUCGCAAG
Molecule: ribosomal RNA, 554 nt
Filed under: uncultured bacterium
Lineage: Bacteria
Description: bacterial SSU rRNA
Rfam family: Bacterial small subunit ribosomal RNA
Source: RNAcentral